GGCCUAACACAUGCAAGUCGAGCGGAAACGAUGGGAGCUUGCUCCCAGGCGUCGAGCGGCGGACGGGUGAGUAACACGUGGGAAUCUGCCCAUUAGUGGGGGAUAACUCGGGGAAACUCGAGCUAAUACCGCAUAAUCCCUACGGGGGAAAGCAGGGGAUCUUCGGACCUUGCGCUGAUGGAUGAGCCCGCGUCGGAUUAGCUUGUUGGUGGGGUAAUGGCCCACCAAGGCGACGAUCCGUAACUGGUCUGAGAGGAUGGCCAGUCACACCGGGACUGAGACACGGCCCGGACUCCUACGGGAGGCAGCAGUGGGGAAUCUUGGACAAUGGGCGCAAGCCUGAUCCAGCCAUGCCGCGUGUGUGAAGAAGGCCUUCGGGUUGUAAAGCACUUUCAGUAGGGAGGAAGGCUUUGGGCUAAUACCCUGGAGUACUUGACGUUACCUACAGAAGAAGCACCGGCUAAAUUUCGUGCCAGCAGCCGCGGUAAUACGAAAUGUGCGAGCGUUAAUCGGAUUACUGGGCGUAAGCGCGCGUAGCGGUGUGUAGUCGAUGUGAAAGCCCAGGCUCCACCUGAAUGCAUCG
RNAcentral lists this ribosomal RNA (583 nucleotides) under Alloalcanivorax dieselolei. RNAcentral describes it as "bacterial SSU rRNA". It matches the Rfam family "Bacterial small subunit ribosomal RNA", at positions 45 to 628 of the family's 1533-position model. Lineage: Bacteria; Pseudomonadati; Pseudomonadota; Gammaproteobacteria; Oceanospirillales; Alcanivoracaceae. The record is from RNAcentral.